CACCUUCAACAGGCAAAUUUUGUUUCAUUAACCACCUCAUACUUUCCUCGCUGUUCCAUGAUCCCUUUUCUCAAUUGUUUUUGACUAAUGAUUCCUUCCCACUUGUGUAAUUUUACAAUGUUACAAUUGCAAUAAGCUUACCCAUACUCACAUAGUUUCCCAGUGUAUUAAUAUUGCCCAUUCUUGUUAU
Non-coding RNA from Caenorhabditis elegans, 190 nucleotides. The record is from Ensembl. NCBI's taxonomy places the organism in Eukaryota, Metazoa, Nematoda, Chromadorea, Rhabditida, Rhabditidae.